AACGCUGGCGGCGUGCCUAAUACAUGCAAGUCGAGCGAACGGACGAGAAGCUUGCUUCUCUGAUGUUAGCGGCGGACGGGUGAGUAACACGUGGAUAACCUACCUAUAAGACUGGGAUAACUUCGGGAAACCGGAGCUAAUACCGGAUAAUAUUUUGAACCGCAUGGUUCAAAAGUGAAAGACGGUCUUGCUGUCACUUAUAGAUGGAUCCGCGCUGCAUUAGCUAGUUGGUAAGGUAACGGCUUACCAAGGCAACGAUGCAUAGCCGACCUGAGAGGGUGAUCGGCCACACUGGAACUGAGACACGGUCCAGACUCCUACGGGAGGCAGCAGUAGGGAAUCUUCCGCAAUGGGCGAAAGCCUGACGGAGCAACGCCGCGUGAGUGAUGAAGGUCUUCGGAUCGUAAAACUCUGUUAUUAGGGAAGAACAUAUGUGUAAGUAACUGUGCACAUCUUGA
Molecule: ribosomal RNA, 458 nt
Filed under: Staphylococcus aureus
Lineage: Bacteria; Bacillati; Bacillota; Bacilli; Caryophanales; Staphylococcaceae
Description: bacterial SSU rRNA
Rfam family: Bacterial small subunit ribosomal RNA
Source: RNAcentral